This 446-nucleotide ribosomal RNA is filed under the name uncultured bacterium. RNAcentral's name for it is "partial 16S ribosomal RNA". It matches the Rfam family "Bacterial small subunit ribosomal RNA", at positions 330 to 792 of the family's 1533-position model. The record is from RNAcentral.
UCCAGACUCCUACGGGAGGCAGCAGUGGGGGAUAUUGCACAAUGGGGGAAACCCUGAUGCAGCGACGCCGCGUGGGUGAAGAAGUAUUUCGGUAUGUAAAGCCCUAUCAGCAGGGAAGAAAGAAGACGGUACCUGACUAAGAAGCCCCGGCUAACUACGUGCCAGCAGCCGCGGUAAUACGUAGGGGGCGAGCGUUAUCCGGAUUCACUGGGUGUAAAGGGAGCGUAGACGGCCGUGCAAGCCAGGAGUGAAAGCCCGGGGCCCAACCCCGGGACUGCUCUUGGAACUGUGCGGCUAGAGUGCGGGAGGGGCAGGCGGAAUUCCUGGUGUAGCGGUGAAAUGCGUAGAUAUCAGGAGGAACACCGGUGGCGAAGGCGGCCUGCUGGGCUGCGACUGACGUUGAGGCCCGAAAGCGUGGGGAGCAAACAGGAUUAGAUACCCCUGUA